Molecule: non-coding RNA, 75 nt
Organism: Podarcis lilfordi (Lilford's wall lizard)
Lineage: Eukaryota; Metazoa; Chordata; Lepidosauria; Squamata; Lacertidae
Source: the annotation of a GenBank genome assembly
UGUGGGACAGCUCAGUUGGUAGAACAUGAGACUCUUAAUCUCAGGGUUGUGAGUUGGUGCCUCAUUCUGGCUUAA